UGAAGGCUUACAGUGGGAAUCUGGUGCGGACCGCUCGUAGUAAAAAUUUGAAGUAGAUAGUUUGUAGCAGAAGCUCAGAGUGGAUCGCUUGCAGUAGAAGCUCGGAGUCCGAUCCUUGUAGGAGUUUGGGUGAGGUCUACCUGCAACAAGAGUUCAGGGUAGAAGUCUGGCUCCCGUAGGAGCUCGGACGAAGUCUACCUGUUCGGGGGAGA
RNAcentral lists this long non-coding RNA (212 nucleotides) under Elaeis guineensis (African oil palm). RNAcentral's name for it is "long non-coding RNA (EGUI_LNC079190)". The record is from RNAcentral. Lineage: Eukaryota; Viridiplantae; Streptophyta; Magnoliopsida; Arecales; Arecaceae.